Molecule: unclassified non-coding RNA, 230 nt
Filed under: Glomus sp.
Lineage: Eukaryota; Fungi; Glomeromycota; Glomeromycetes; Glomerales; Glomeraceae
Description: partial contains 5.8S ribosomal RNA and internal transcribed spacer 2
Rfam family: 5.8S ribosomal RNA (bases 1-65)
Source: RNAcentral
GUGAAUCAUCAAAUUUUUGAACGCAAAUUGCACUCUCCUCGGAGAGUAUGCCUGUUUGAGGGUCAGCCUAUAAAAAUCGACAUCGUUGCUGUUUCGCGGUGGCGUUCGUCGGAAAUUGGGUCAUCUUAAAUCCUUUUGAUUUAAGCGACUUAAAUUUUCUUUUUGUUUCAUGAACGGUUCUUAGAACUAUUUCUUUACAAGGUUAAGGUAAUGAAUUUUACUAGAACUGA